This is a long non-coding RNA of Rhagoletis pomonella (apple maggot), 277 nucleotides long. RefSeq lists it as uncharacterized. The record is from RefSeq and is a predicted model, not a curated record. The transcript has 3 exons. NCBI's taxonomy places the organism in Eukaryota, Metazoa, Arthropoda, Insecta, Diptera, Tephritidae.
UUCACUUAUUCCUCUUAUGAUAAAAGCUGAGAAACAUAUUUAUCGCGUAAAUUGUAGAUACGCCCAUAUUGUUUCUGGCUACCCUGUCGGAAAAAUAUUCGGAUAUUCCUUUUAUCAUAACAGCUAAGCAAUACAUUUAUUACGAGUAUUAUUUGUAUGAAACAUUUUUCCAUUAGAUAUACUGACAUAUUGCGUUUAUCUCAUGAAGUCUACAUAAAAUCGGCAACUUUAUAAUUUCAAAAAGUUAUUUUGUUGAUCGUAAUAACCAUUUUUACUA